UUUGCUGUUCCAGCAAAAAUUUCUUUUUCAUUAUUUUAUAGUAACAGACCUCCGAAACUGGAAUUCGAAAACAGAUGUCGCUGUUUACGUUGAAAAACGAAGUGAAACCGAAAAUAGACGAAGUGAAAAAAGUUAAUGUAAACAAAUAAAAUGAGGUUAAAGUUAAGUGAAUUUAUCAACAAAACACAAUGGAUUAUUCGGGAUUUUUGACUGUCAUGGAAAAAAAUUGAAUCAUCCGGAGCUUUUGAACAUCUGUGGCAUCCACGGAUUCCGGGAAGAGAUACCCGGACAACUCCGAGUCAGCAUAAAAUGGUUGUUUAAUAAGCAGAAUCUUAUGCGGAAUGAUGGAAGCAUUUGUGAAAGAGUGGAAAUUGGUCGGACCAGCUCUACAGAAUGGCCAUAAAAAGAUGAAGUCGCGAAUUUAGAAUAUUUUUAAAUAAAACAUCUUUCCAUACUCCAA
Lutzomyia longipalpis is the source of this 460-nucleotide long non-coding RNA. RefSeq lists it as uncharacterized. The transcript is spliced from 2 exons. NCBI's taxonomy places the organism in Eukaryota, Metazoa, Arthropoda, Insecta, Diptera, Psychodidae. The record is from RefSeq and is a predicted model, not a curated record.